Anopheles cruzii is the source of this 67-nucleotide non-coding RNA. The record is from the annotation of a RefSeq genome assembly. NCBI's taxonomy places the organism in Eukaryota, Metazoa, Arthropoda, Insecta, Diptera, Culicidae.
AUUUAAAUAGCUUAUAAAAAAGAGUAUGACAUUGAAGAUGUUAGGGAGAUUGUUAAAUCUUUAAAUA